UUAUCGUAUAAUCGAGGUAUUGAGGCUGUCGCUGACCUUUGAAAAGGUCGUGCACGCCCCAGUGCACUCAUACAUCCAUCUUACACCUUUUGUGCAUCACCGCGUGGACCCCCCUAUUUUGGCUUGUUCCAAAGGGGGGUUCGCGUUUUAUACACACAUACACAUACAUGUAUAGAAUGUCUUUUGCGAUAAUGCGCAAUUAAUACAACUUUCAACAACGGAUCUCUUGGCUCUCGCAUCGAUGAAGAACGCAGCGAAAUGCGAUACGUAAUGUGAAUUGCAGAAUUCAGUGAAUCAUCGAAUCUUUGAACGCAUCUUGCGCCCCUUGGCAUUCCGAGGGGCACACCCGUUUGAGUGUCGUGAUAUUCUCAACCUUUCUUGGUUUCUUGACUAAAGAAAGGCUUGGACUUUGGGGUUUGCCGGCCUCCUUUGAAGCCGGCUCCUCCUAAAUGAAUUAGUAGGGUUUGCUUUGCUGAUCCUUGAUGUGAUAAUAUGUACAUCUUGGGUUUUGCACUGUCACUUUUGGAUCCUGCUUCUAAUCGUCUUGCAAAAGACAAUGUUCAUAAUAAACCUUGACCUCAAAUCGGGUGAGACUACCCGCUGAACUUAAGCAUAUCAAUAAGCGGAGGAAAAGAAACUAACAAGGAUUCCCCUAGUAACUGCGAGUGAAGCGGGAAAAGCUCAAAUUUAAAAUCUGGUGGUCUUUGGCCAUCCGAGUUGUAAUUUAGAGAAGCGUCUUCCGCGCUGGACUGUGCAUAAGUCUCCUGGAAUGGAGCGUCAUAGAGGGUGAGAAUCCCGUCUUUGGCACAGAUGCCCAGGGCUUCUGCGAUGCGCUCUCGAAGAGUCGAGUUGUUUGGGAAUGCAGCUCAAAAUGGGUGGUGAACUCCAUCUAAAGCUAAAUAUUGGCGAGAGACCGAUAGCGAACAAGUACCGUGAGGGAAAGAUGAAAAGCACUUUGGAAAGAGAGUGAAACAGUACGUGAAAUUGUUGAAAGGGAAACGCUUAAAGUCAGUCGCGUCAACCAAGACUCAGCCUUGCCUUGGCUUGGUGUACUUCUUGGCUGACGGGUCAGCAUCAAUUUUGACUCUCAGAUAAUGGCAAGGGAAAUGUGGCACCUUUUUAGGUGUGUUAUAGUCCUCUGUCGGAUGUGAGGGUCGGGAUUGAGGAACUCAGCACGCACCUUUGGUGUCGGGGCC
RNAcentral lists this ribosomal RNA (1196 nucleotides) under Russula aff. pluvialis TH9230. Its description in RNAcentral is "eukaryotic LSU rRNA". The stretch from base 574 to 1196 matches the Rfam family "Eukaryotic large subunit ribosomal RNA", at positions 1 to 627 of the family's 3401-position model. The record is from RNAcentral. Lineage: Eukaryota; Fungi; Basidiomycota; Agaricomycetes; Russulales; Russulaceae.